RNAcentral lists this ribosomal RNA (253 nucleotides) under uncultured bacterium. RNAcentral's name for it is "partial 16S ribosomal RNA". It matches the Rfam family "Bacterial small subunit ribosomal RNA", at positions 524 to 776 of the family's 1533-position model. The record is from RNAcentral.
UACGUAGGUUGCGAGCGUUGUCCGGAUUUACUGGGCGUAAAGCGCGCGCAGGCGGUCCUGUAAGUCCGCGGUGAAAGCUCCCGGCCCAACUGGGAGAGGCCCGCGGAAACUACAGGACUUGAAGGCGGGAGAGGCAAAUGGAAUUUCCGGUGUAGCGGUAAAAUGCGUAGAUACCGGAAGGAACACCAGUGGCGAAAGCGAUUUGCUGGCCCGCCCUUGACGCUCAGGCGCGAAAGCUAGGGGAGCGACCGGG